AGCUAAUAGAUACCCUGGUAGUCCACGCCCUAAACGAUGUCUACUAGUUGUUGGUGGAGUAAAAUCCAUGAGUAAACGCAGCUAACGCGUGAAGUAGACCGCCUGGGGAGUACGGUCGCAAGAUUAAAACUCAAAGGAAUUGACGGGGGCCCGCACAAGCGGUGGAUUAUGUGGAUUAAUUCGAUGCAACGCGAAAACCUUACCUGGCCUUGACAUGCCACUAACGAAGCAGAGAUGCAUUAGGUGCCCGUAAGGGAAAGUGGACACAGGUGCUGCAUGGCUGUCGUCAGCUCGUGUCGUGAGACGUUGGGUUAAGUCCCGCAACGAGCGCAACCCUUGCCAUUAAUUGCCAUCAUUUAGUUGGGCACUUUAGUGGGACUGCCGGUGACAAACCGGAGGAAGGUGGGGAUGACGUCAAGUCCUCAUGGCCCUUAUGGCCAGGGCUUCACACGUAAUACAAUGGUCGGUACAGAGAGUUGCCAACCCGCAGGGGAGCUAAUCUCAGAAAGCCGAUCGUAGUCCGGAUUGUUCUCUGC
This 536-nucleotide ribosomal RNA is filed under the name uncultured bacterium. RNAcentral's name for it is "bacterial SSU rRNA". It matches the Rfam family "Bacterial small subunit ribosomal RNA", at positions 767 to 1308 of the family's 1533-position model. The record is from RNAcentral.